RNAcentral lists this long non-coding RNA (416 nucleotides) under Panax ginseng (ginseng). Its description in RNAcentral is "long non-coding RNA (PGIN_LNC016833)". The record is from RNAcentral. Lineage: Eukaryota; Viridiplantae; Streptophyta; Magnoliopsida; Apiales; Araliaceae.
CUGAUAGCAUUUCAUUAAAGUAGAAAAAGAUUACACAGUGAUAAUAAAAUUCUUUACAAAAAGUUUUAAAGUUAAAAAGGUCGAAGAAGAUCUUGUUCAGGCGUCGUCCUCAUUUUCAUCUUUCGAAGAGUCAAGAAGAGUUGGAUUCACCGAAGCUGCUGCGAGCUUUGCCUUGCCUUUGUUUUGGGCAACUUCAUACCCUUCGGCAUACAUCUUGAUUAUCUCAUUGUUUAGCUCAGGUGAUUUUUGAUACUCAGCUUGGAUCUCUUUGCGGAACUCUUCAGUGAGUAGAUGACCUUGAUCUUUGAGUUCCCGAAGUUUAGUCUCCAACUUGCGACGGUGUGCAAGGUGUCGUUCUUUGGUAACUUUGGCGUUGUUAACCGCCUUCGCCAAGCUCUGGUUGGACUGUGCAAGAU